UAACAGAUAGGCAAUGGAAAUUCCACCU
This 28-nucleotide non-coding RNA is filed under the name Mus musculus (house mouse). The record is from RNAcentral. Lineage: Eukaryota; Metazoa; Chordata; Mammalia; Rodentia; Muridae.